GGGGGUGGUAGCUCGGUGGCAGAGCAUCUGCUUUGCAUGCAGGAGGUUCCAGGUUCGAUCCCCGGCAUCUCCU
This 73-nucleotide transfer RNA is filed under the name Podarcis lilfordi (Lilford's wall lizard). RNAcentral's name for it is "tRNA.Ala". It matches the Rfam family "tRNA". From Rfam's summary of the family: Transfer RNA (tRNA) molecules are approximately 80 nucleotides in length. The record is from RNAcentral. Lineage: Eukaryota; Metazoa; Chordata; Lepidosauria; Squamata; Lacertidae.